This 375-nucleotide long non-coding RNA is filed under the name Sus scrofa (pig). RNAcentral's name for it is "lncRNA (ENSSSCG00065011250.1)". Lineage: Eukaryota; Metazoa; Chordata; Mammalia; Artiodactyla; Suidae. The record is from RNAcentral.
UUCCAUUUUUAAGUAAGAUAAAAAUGUAUUUUAGGUUGUGCCUUGCCUGAAAGAUACCCUGCAUAUCAAUCCUAAAGUACUCUCUUUAUUUUUCAGUUUCUAUGUUAGUUGAGUAAGGAUGCUGACCUACUGAUCGGAUCUCCAGCCCAGGACUAUGGUUUUCCAAUAGUUAGAGGUCAUUGAUCCUGAAGGAAAAUUUUUUGCCUAAGAAUUGGAGCUGCCUGAUCUCUACAUAUUGCAAAUGGUCUGACCUUUUCAUUCAAUAGUCACUAGGAUUGGUUACAAACAGGGCAGAAGUGCAGCUGAAGUCUGGAGGCAGCAAACAGUUAUGGAAAAUCUGUGAAGUCAUGUUGUCCUUGCAACAUUUUCCGGCCU